ACUUGAAAGAACCCUAGAAAUGUUUACUCUACGAUUGAGAAAGAAACCUGAAUUUGCUUCAAAUCUUGGAAUCUUCAACUUUGGGAAUAUAAAUCAACUAUUGGCCAGACCCAGUUCACCAAGAAGUAUUUUGAUGAUACGUUUGAGCACAUCCAUGUUGUUCUUCGUCAUCAAGUUGUGAAGGAAUUUCUAAAGAAUCGGCUUCUGUC
Molecule: long non-coding RNA, 209 nt
Organism: Helianthus annuus (common sunflower)
Lineage: Eukaryota; Viridiplantae; Streptophyta; Magnoliopsida; Asterales; Asteraceae
Exons: 3
Source: RefSeq, a predicted model, not a curated record